AUUGAACGCUGGCAGCAGGCCUAACACAUGCAAGUCGAACGGUAACAGGAAGCAGCUUGCUGCUUCGCUGACGAGUGGCGGACGGGUGAGUAAUGUCUGGGAAACUGCCUGAUGGAGGGGAAUAACUACUGGAAACGGUAGCUAAUACCGCAUAACGUCGCAAGACCAAAGAGGGGGACCUUCGGGCCUCUUGCCAUCGGAUGUGCCCAGAUGGGAUUAGCUAGUAGGUGGGGUAACGGCUCACCUAGGCGACGAUCCCUAGCUGGUCUGAGAGGAUGACCAGCCACACUGGAACUGAGACACGGUCCAGACUCCUACGGGAGGCAGCAGUGGGGAAUAUUGCACAAUGGGCGCAAGCCUGAUGCAGCCAUGCCGCGUGUAUGAAGAAGGCCUUCGGGUUGUAAAGUACUUUCAGCGGGGAGGAAGGCGAUAAGGUUAAUAACCUUGUCGAUUGACGUUACCCGCAGAGGAAGCACCGGCUAACUCCGUGCCAGCAGCCGCCGCCG
Molecule: ribosomal RNA, 506 nt
Filed under: uncultured bacterium
Lineage: Bacteria
Description: partial 16S ribosomal RNA
Rfam family: Bacterial small subunit ribosomal RNA
Source: RNAcentral